AGAUUACUAAUAGAGUAAAUAAUGAUAUAACAAAAAGAAGAAUUGCAAUAAGCAUUUGAUAAUCUACCGUUCGAGUUAAAUCGUUAACGACCAAGGAAAUAUAAGUCAACGAUUGAUCAUUUGAUCCCAAAGGAAAAGAAUGCUACAACGAGCAUCUUUCUAUGACUAAAGUCAAUGCUCUGGUAAAGUCAAAUCCUCUUAUGAACAAAGAAAUAGAGUUAACAAAUCAAGGUAAAUGCAC
Molecule: long non-coding RNA, 241 nt
Filed under: Cicer arietinum (chickpea)
Lineage: Eukaryota; Viridiplantae; Streptophyta; Magnoliopsida; Fabales; Fabaceae
Description: long non-coding RNA (CARI_LNC000720)
Source: RNAcentral